UACGGGGGGGGCAAGCGUUGUUCGGAAUUACUGGGCGUAAAGGGCUCGUAGGUGGCCAACUAAGUCGGACGUGAAAUCCCUCGGCUUAACCGGGGAACUGCGUCCGAUACUGGUUGGCUUGAGUUUGGGAGAGGGAUGCGGAAUUCCAGGUGUAGCGGUGAAAUUCGUAGAUAUUGGGAAGAACACCGAUGGCGAAGGCAGCCAUCUGGACCGACACUGACGCUGAGGCGCGAAAGCGUGGGGAGCAAACAGG
Molecule: ribosomal RNA, 253 nt
Filed under: uncultured bacterium
Lineage: Bacteria
Description: partial 16S ribosomal RNA
Rfam family: Bacterial small subunit ribosomal RNA
Source: RNAcentral